ACUUAAAUUGAAGAGUUUGAUCAUGGCUCAGAUUGAACGCUGGCGGCAGGCCUAACACAUGCAAGUCGAGCGGUAGCACAGAGAGCUUGCUCUCGGGUGACGAGCGGCGGACGGGUGAGUAAUGUCUGGGAAACUGCCUGAUGGAGGGGGAUAACUACUGGAAACGGUAGCUAAUACCGCAUAAUGUCGCAAGACCAAAGUGGGGGACCUUCGGGCCUCAUGCCAUCAGAUGUGCCCAGAUGGGAUUAGCUAGUAGGUGGGGUAACGGCUCACCUAGGCGACGAUCCCUAGCUGGUCUGAGAGGAUGACCAGCCACACUGGAACUGAGACACGGUCCAGACUCCUACGGGAGGCAGCAGUGGGGAAUAUUGCACAAUGGGCGC
RNAcentral lists this ribosomal RNA (383 nucleotides) under Klebsiella pneumoniae subsp. pneumoniae. RNAcentral describes it as "bacterial SSU rRNA". It matches the Rfam family "Bacterial small subunit ribosomal RNA", at positions 1 to 378 of the family's 1533-position model. Lineage: Bacteria; Pseudomonadati; Pseudomonadota; Gammaproteobacteria; Enterobacterales; Enterobacteriaceae. The record is from RNAcentral.